Molecule: ribosomal RNA, 666 nt
Filed under: bacterium enrichment culture
Lineage: Bacteria
Description: bacterial SSU rRNA
Rfam family: Bacterial small subunit ribosomal RNA
Source: RNAcentral
GUUUGAUCCUGGCUCAGAACGAACGCUGGCGGCGUGGAUAAGACAUGCAAGUCGAGCGCUGAUUUGAAGGUAGCAAUAUUUUUAAGUCGGAGCGGCGAAAGGGUGCGUAACACGUGGGAAUUUGCCUUGAAGUGCUGGAUAACUCCGAGAAAUCGGAGCUAAUAUGGCAUGUGAUUGUGAAAUCAAAGUCGGGGAUCGCAAGACCUGACGCUUCAAGAUAAGCCCGCGGCCUAUCAGCUAGUUGGUGUGGUAAUGGCACACCAAGGCUAAGACGGGUAGCUGGUCUGAGAGGACGACCAGCCACACUGGAACUGAGACACGGUCCAGACACCUACGGGUGGCAGCAGUCGAGAAUUUUUCUCAAUGGGCGAAAGCCUGAAGGAGCGACGCCGCGUGGGGGAUGAAUGGCUUCGGCCCGUAAACCCCUGUCAUUUGCGAACAAAUUGAUUCACCAAAUACGCGGAUCAUUGAUUGUAGCGAAAGAGGAAGGGACGGCUAACUCUGUGCCAGCAGCCGCGGUAAUACAGAGGUCCCAAGCGUUGUUCGGAUUCACUGGGCGUAAAGGGUGCGUAGGCGGUUGAAUGAGUCUGACGUGAAAUCUCCGAGCCUAACUCGGAAACUGCGUUGGAUACUGUUUAACUUGAGGAAUGGAGGGGAGACUGGAAU